This 408-nucleotide ribosomal RNA is filed under the name uncultured bacterium. RNAcentral's name for it is "bacterial SSU rRNA". It matches the Rfam family "Bacterial small subunit ribosomal RNA", at positions 29 to 484 of the family's 1533-position model. The record is from RNAcentral.
AACGAACGCUGGCGGCAGGCCUAACACAUGCAAGUCGAGCGCCCCGCAAGGGGAGCGGCGGACGGGUGAGUAACACGUGGGAACGUACCCUUUGCUACGGAAUAGUCUCGGGAAACUGGGGGUAAUACCGUAUGUGCCCUUCGGGGGAAAGAUUUAUCGGCAAAGGAUCGGCCCGCGUUGGAUUAGGUAGUUGGUGGGGUAAUGGCCUACCAAGCCGACGAUCCAUAGCUGGUUUGAGAGGAUGAUCAGCCACACUGGGACUGAGACACGGCCCAGACUCCUACGGGAGGCAGCAGUGGGGAAUCUUAGACAAUGGGCGCAAGCCUGAUCUAGCCAUGCCGCGUGAGCGAUGAAGGCCUUAGGGUUGUAAAGCUCUUUCAGUGGGGAAGAUAAUGACUGUACCGACCA